GACGAACGCUGGCGGCGUGCUUAACACAUGCAAGUCGAACGGUGAAGCGCUUUUCUUUUUGGUUGGUGUGGUUGAGUGGCGAACGGGUGAGUAACACUUGAGUAACCUGCCCUCUUCUUUUGGAUAACCGCAUGAAAGCGUGUCUAAUACGGGAUAUUCUGGUUCUGUCGCAUGAUUGGUCUGGUUCAGAUAUUGUUUCUGUGGGGGAUGGGCUCGCGGCCUAUCGGCUUGUUGUUGGUGUGCUGGCCUAGCAAGGCGGUGCCGGGUAGGCGGCCUGGGAGGGUGGACGGUCCCACAGGGACUGAGGCACGGGCGGGACUGCUACGGGGGGCAGCAGUGGAGAGGAUGGAGCAGUGGGGGAAAGCCUGAUACGGCGGCGACGCGGGAGCGGUGAAGGCCUGCGGGUUAUGAACCUCUUUCGCCAGUAAAGCGGGCCUGCCUCGGUUGUAGGUGGAUUGACGGUAGCUGGAUAAGAAGCACCGGCUAACUACGUG
This 494-nucleotide ribosomal RNA is filed under the name uncultured bacterium. RNAcentral describes it as "partial 16S ribosomal RNA". It matches the Rfam family "Bacterial small subunit ribosomal RNA", at positions 28 to 507 of the family's 1533-position model. The record is from RNAcentral.